UUUUUCUUAUCCUAAGAUCAGCCCCACUGUAUCCGUCCUCUCGCUACCGUUGAUUCGUCCACAAUUUCCACGACCCAAACCUCCCCUCUCCCGUCAAUCAUUGAAAAACAAAACCGGACGGUCGCUUUCUUCUUCUCCCUCCUUUCGCUCUUCUUUUCUUCAUCUAAUUUCAUAGCGGUUCUUUUCUUAUUCGCUAAAUGGAUCGAAGUCUUCAAGCAGUUAUUGCAGCAAUCUUAAGCUUCUUUUUAGUCUCUGUAGUCUUAGCUUUCCUCAUCUUAAUCUGCAAAUCAACUAAAAAGUCCACCCGCCCAAACCCUCCUCAAAUCCGGUCCUUAAACCGAACCCAACCCGCCCCUAAUCCUCCCGAUCUCACCACAUGCGACAGCGCCGCCUUCGACCCCUCUCUCAAACGUCUCGACAUGGCGGAACUCGCUGCCGCCACGAAGAACUUCUCCUCCGACCUCAUCAUUGGCGACGGCAGCUUCGGAAUAGUUUACAAAGCUACCCUCUCUUACGGUGUCACCGUCGCAAUUAAAAAGCUCGACCCAAAUGCCUUUCAGGGGCUCCGGGAGUUCCGAGCUGAGAUGGAAACCCUAGGCAAGCUGCGUCACGACAACAUCAUCAAGAUCCUCGGGUUCUGCUCUUCGGGUGUGGAUCGGGUUUUGAUAUAUGAAUUCAUUGAGAGAGGAAGCUUGGACCAAUGGUUGUACGAUGAGGAACAAGAAAACUCGGUUGGCCGUUUAACGUUAUCUUGGGAUACGAGGAAGAAGAUAGUGAAUGGGAUAGCUAAUGGUCUGGCAUAUUUACAUGGCCUUGAUACGCCCAUUAUCCACAGAGAUAUCAAGGCUAGCAAUGUCUUGCUGGAUAGCGAUUUUGAGCCCCAUAUCGCUGAUUUCGGACUCGCUCGGCAAGUCAAAGAGGCCCAUUCACACGUAUCCACACAAGUCGCCGGGACUAUGGGAUACAUGCCGCCCGAGUACCGUGAAGGAAACACUGCUGCGACAGUGAUGGCCGAUGUUUAUAGUUUCGGGAUAUUAAUGAUCGAGAUUGCCACCCAAAACCGACCCAAUUGGCCGGUGAGGUUCGAGGGGAAAGACGUGGGACUAGUGGAGUGGGCUAGAAAAAUGGUGGCCCAAAAUCGACAAAUCGAAAUGAUAUAUCAAAAGAUCCCAAAUAAAGAAUUAAUCGAGGAUGAGGUUAAGGAGUAUUUCCGAAUUGCAUGUAUGUGUACUAAUGAACUUUCCAAAGAAAGGCCUGUCAUGAGCCAAGUUGUUGAGCUGUUGAGUCGAAUUUCUUCGUGAACUUGCAAUGGGGAAAAUGAUGAUUGUCUUGGUAAUAUUUUUGCUAUCAUGAGAAAUAUUAGGUUCAGUUUGCCAUCUUUAUUUACUUUGCCGAUUAUUACCUUGCGGAACUCGUCAAGUCGGAUCGUCUCGAAGCUACACUAUCCUACCACCGAAUCGGUAGCUAUUUGCUCAUUUUGAGUCUAGGGUUGUGACCUGCCGCCAAUUGUGGUAGUAGUUUUAGUACAUUUUGGCAUUUAAGGGGAUUAUUUUUAGUCAUUUUAUAUUUAAUUAUUUCAUUUUCACCUUUCGUAGUUUAGAUUUAAUUAUUUGCAAAAUAAGCUAUUUUACGCAAUAAUUUAUGCCAGUUUACCUAUUAUGCCAAUACGGGCAUUAGGUAGUUUUAAUCUGCUUAAUGGAGGGUGCAGGAUGAGUAGUUAUAAGCCUAAUAGCCUUAUGGACGACUUCCGAGUGUAGCAUAAGUUUCCCGAGUCGCAGCACGUGAAAAUGGACUUCAAAGCUUGAAUUCAAGGUGUCGUGUCACAACAUACCCUUGGCUAUGCCGCGAAACAAGGCUAGACGUGGGGAGCAAAAAUCGACAAGGCUAAAAUCAUCCACACAAUCAAUAUUUUCUGAGUUUAUGGCCUAUAAUAAACCUAAUUAAGGUUUCUAAACAUCUCUAUAAAUAGGAAGGUUAUUGCUAACUCGUAAGCAAGUAUUUAGGAGUCGUAGUUAGUAGAUUUAUGUUUUAAUUAGUUUUAUUUUCUGUUUCUUAAUACUUUGCUAUUUUUGACUAGGUUCAACUUGAACCUAAGUCCCUUUUAUUAAAGUAUUCAAUACUUUUUGUAGCA
This is an RNA transcript of Gossypium raimondii (Peruvian cotton), 2131 nucleotides long. It is a transcript of the gene named putative serine/threonine-protein kinase, with no coding region annotated. The transcript has 3 exons. NCBI's taxonomy places the organism in Eukaryota, Viridiplantae, Streptophyta, Magnoliopsida, Malvales, Malvaceae. The record is from RefSeq and is a predicted model, not a curated record.